AUCGUCAUGCCCCUCGGGACAUUCGUCCGAUGGGAACAGUCCAGGAGAUAGUCAUGGAUACCGGUACCGUAAAGUGGUUUAACGAUUCGAAGGGCUUCGGCUUCAUUACGCCGGACGCCGGCGGCGACGAUCUGUUCGCGCAUUUUUCCGAAAUUCAGGGCAGCGGCUUCAAGUCGCUGCAGGAAGGACAGAAGGUGCGCUUCGUGCGCGGCGUCGGCCAGAAGGGCCCGGCCGCCACGAAGAUCGAAGCGAUCUGACGCUAGCCACGAAAACCCCGCACCUGCGGGGUUUUUUAUU
Molecule: small RNA, 297 nt
Filed under: Cupriavidus sp. HPC(L)
Lineage: Bacteria; Pseudomonadati; Pseudomonadota; Betaproteobacteria; Burkholderiales; Burkholderiaceae
Description: cspA thermoregulator
Rfam family: cspA thermoregulator
Source: Rfam by way of RNAcentral